UUAAGCGACUAAGCGUACACGGUGGAUGCCCUGGCAGUCAGAGGCGAUGAAGGACGUGCUAAUCUGCGAAAAGCGUCGGUAAGGUGAUAUGAACCGUUAUAACCGGCGAUGUCCGAAUGGGGAAACCCAGUGUGAUUCGUCACACUAUCGUUAACUGAAUACAUAGGUUAACGAGGCGAACCGGGGGAACUGAAACAUCUAAGUACCCCGAGGAAAAGAAAUCAACCGAGAUUCCCCCAGUAGCGGCGAGCGAACGGGGAGCAGCCCAGAGUCUGAAUCAGCUUGUGUGUUAGUGGAACGGUCUGGAAAGUCCGACGGUACAGGGUGAUAGUCCCGUACACCAAAAUGCACAGGUUGUGAACUCGAAGAGUAGGGCGGGACACGUGGUAUCCUGUCUGAAUAUGGGGGACCAUCCUCCAAGGCUAAAUACUCCUGACUGACCGAUAGUGAACCAGUACCGUGAGGGAAAGGCGAAAAGAACCCCGGCGAGGGGAGUGAAAAAGAACCUGAAACCGUGUACGUACAAGCAGUGGGAGCACCUUCGGGUGUGACUGCGUACCUUUUGUAUAAUGGGUCAGCGACUUAUAUUCUGUAGCAAGGUUAACCGUAUAGGGGAGCCGCAGGGAAACCGAGUCUUAACUGGGCGUUAAGUUGCAGGGUAUAGACCCGAAACCCGGUGAUCUAGCCAUGGGCAGGUUGAAGGUUGGGUAACACUAACUGGAGGACCGAACCGACUAAUGUUGAAAAAUUAGCGGAUGACUUGUGGCUGGGGGUGAAAGGCCAAUCAAACCGGGAGAUAGCUGGUUCUCCCCGAAAGCUAUUUAGGUAGCGCCUCGUGAAUUCAUCUUCGGGGGUAGAGCACUGUUUCGGCUAGGGGGUCAUCCCGACUUACCAACCCGAUGCAAACUACGAAUACCGAAGAAUGUUAUCACGGGAGACACACGGCGGGUGCUAACGUCCGUCGUGAAGAGGGAAACAACCCAGACCGCCAGCUAAGGUCCCAAAGUCAUGGUUAAGUGGGAAACGAUGUGGGAAGGCACAGACAGCCAGGAUGUUGGCUUAGAAGCAGCCAUCAUUUAAAGAAAGCGUAAUAGCUCACUGGUCGAGUCGGCCUGCGCGGAAGAUGUAACGGGGCUAAACCAUGCACCGAAGCUGCGGCAGCGACACUAUGUGUUGUUGGGUAGGGGAGCGUUCUGUAAGCCUGCGAAGGUGGCCUGUGAGGGUUGCUGGAGGUAUCAGAAGUGCGAAUGCUGACAUAAGUAACGAUAAAGCGGGUGAAAAGCCCGCUCGCCGGAAGACCAAGGGUUCCUGUCCAACGUUAAUCGGGGCAGGGUGAGUCGACCCCUAAGGCGAGGCCGAAAGGCGUAGUCGAUGGGAAACAGGUUAAUAUUCCUGUACUUGGUGUUACUGCGAAGGGGGGACGGAGAAGGCUAUGUUAGCCGGGCGACGGUUGUCCCGGUUUAAGCAUGUAGGCUGGUUAUCCAGGCAAAUCCGGAUAAUCAAGGCUGAGGUGUGAUGACGAGGCACUACGGUGCUGAAGUAACAAAUGCCCUGCUUCCAGGAAAAGCCUCUAAGCAUCAGGUAACAUUAAAUCGUACCCCAAACCGACACAGGUGGUCAGGUAGAGAAUACCAAGGCGCUUGAGAGAACUCGGGUGAAGGAACUAGGCAAAAUGGUGCCGUAACUUCGGGAGAAGGCACGCUGGUGUGUAGGUGAAGUCCCUGCGGAUGGAGCUGAGAUCAGUCGAAGAUACCAGCUGGCUGCAACUGUUUAUUAAAAACACAGCACUGUGCAAACACGAAAGUGGACGUAUACGGUGUGACGCCUGCCCGGUGCCGGAAGGUUAAUUGAUGGGGUUAUCCGUAAGGAGAAGCUCUUGAUCGAAGCCCCGGUAAACGGCGGCCGUAACUAUAACGGUCCUAAGGUAGCGAAAUUCCUUGUCGGGUAAGUUCCGACCUGCACGAAUGGCGUAAUGAUGGCCAGGCUGUCUCCACCCGAGACUCAGUGAAAUUGAACUCGCUGUGAAGAUGCAGUGUACCCGCGGCAAGACGGAAAGACCCCGUGAACCUUUACUAUAGCUUGACACUGAACAUUGAGCCUUGAUGUGUAGGAUAGGUGGGAGGCUUUGAAGCGUGGACGCCAGUCUGCGUGGAGCCAACCUUGAAAUACCACCCUUUAAUGUUUGAUGUUCUAACGUUGGCCCCUGACCGGGGUUGCGGACAGUGUCUGGUGGGUAGUUUGACUGGGGCGGUCUCCUCCCAAAGCGUAACGGAGGAGCACGAAGGUUAGCUAAUCCUGGUCGGACAUCAGGAGGUUAGUGCAAUGGCAUAAGCUAGCUUGACUGCGAGCGUGACGGCGCGAGCAGGUGCGAAAGCAGGUCAUAGUGAUCCGGUGGUUCUGAAUGGAAGGGCCAUCGCUCAACGGAUAAAAGGUACUCCGGGGAUAACAGGCUGAUACCGCCCAAGAGUUCAUAUCGACGGCGGUGUUUGGCACCUCGAUGUCGGCUCAUCACAUCCUGGGGCUGAAGUAGGUCCCAAGGGUAUGGCUGUUCGCCAUUUAAAGUGGUACGCGAGCUGGGUUUAGAACGUCGUGAGACAGUUCGGUCCCUAUCUGCCGUGGGCGCUGGAGAAUUGAGGGGGGCUGCUCCUAGUACGAGAGGACCGGAGUGGACGCAUCACUGGUGUUCGGGUUGUCAUGCCAAUGGCACUGCCCGGUAGCUAAAUGCGGAAGAGAUAAGUGCUGAAAGCAUCUAAGCACGAAACUUGCCCCGAGAUGAGUUCUCCCUGAGACUUUAAGUCUCCUGAAGGAACGUUGAAGACGACGACGUUGAUAGGCCGGGUGUGUAAGCGCAGCGAUGCGUUGAGCUAACCGGUACUAAUGAACCGUGAGGCUUAACCUU
RNAcentral lists this ribosomal RNA (2899 nucleotides) under Klebsiella pneumoniae. RNAcentral's name for it is "bacterial LSU rRNA". It matches the Rfam family "Bacterial large subunit ribosomal RNA". Lineage: Bacteria; Pseudomonadati; Pseudomonadota; Gammaproteobacteria; Enterobacterales; Enterobacteriaceae. The record is from RNAcentral.